UGCAAGUCGAACGAACUCUUCGGAGUUAGUGGCGGACGGGUGAGUAACACGUGGGAACGUGCCUUUAGGUUCGGAAUAACUCAGGGAAACUUGUGCUAAUACCGAAUGUGCCCUUCGGGGGAAAGAUUUAUCGCCUUUAGAGCGGCCCGCGUCUGAUUAGCUAGUUGGUGAGGUAAAGGCUCACCAAGGCGACGAUCAGUAGCUGGUCUGAGAGGAUGAUCAGCCACAUUGGGACUGAGACACGGCCCAAACUCCUACGGGAGGCAGCAGUGGGGAAUCUUGCGCAAUGGGCGAAAGCCUGACGCAGCCAUGCCGCGUGAAUGAUGAAGGUCUUAGGAUUGUAAAAUUCUUUCAGUAGGGACGAUAAUGACGGUACCUACAGAAGAAGCCCCGGCUAACUUCGUGCCAGCAGCCGCGGUAAUACGAAGGGGGCUAGCGUUGCUCGGAAUUACUGGGCGUAAAGGGAGCGUAGGCGGACAUUUAAGUCAGGGGUGAAAUCCCGGGGCUCAACCUCGGAAUUGCCUUUGAUACUGGGUGUCUUGAGUGUGAGAGAGGUAUGUGGAACUCCGAGUGUAGAGGUGAAAUUCGUAGAUAUUCGGAAGAACACCAGUGGCGAAGGCGACAUACUGGCUCAUUACUGACGCUGAGGCUCGAAAGCGUGGGGAGCAAACAGGAUUAGAUACCCUGGUAGUCCACGCCGUAAACGAUGAUUGCUAGUUGUCGGGAUGCAUGCAUUUCGGUGACGCAGCUAACGCAUUAAGCAAUCCGCCUGGGGAGUACGGUCGCAAGAUUAAAACUCAAAGGAAUUGAC
This 811-nucleotide ribosomal RNA is filed under the name Brevundimonas sp. NCCP-670. Its description in RNAcentral is "bacterial SSU rRNA". It matches the Rfam family "Bacterial small subunit ribosomal RNA", at positions 56 to 914 of the family's 1533-position model. Lineage: Bacteria; Pseudomonadati; Pseudomonadota; Alphaproteobacteria; Caulobacterales; Caulobacteraceae. The record is from RNAcentral.